Molecule: ribosomal RNA, 434 nt
Filed under: uncultured soil bacterium
Lineage: Bacteria
Description: bacterial SSU rRNA
Rfam family: Bacterial small subunit ribosomal RNA
Source: RNAcentral
GUGAACGAGCGACGCCGCGUGCGGGAUGAAGGCCUUCGGGUUGUAAAGCACUGUCAGGUAACUCUAAUCCCGUAGGGUUAAUACCCCUUGCGGUUGAAGGGUUUCCAGAGGAAGCACCGGCUAAAUCCGUGCCAGCAGCCGCGGUAAUACGGAUGGUGCAAGCGUUAUUCGGAAUCACUGGGCAUAAAGAGCACGUAGGCGGCUGCGUAAGUCAGUGGUGAAAUCCCUCGGCUCAACCGAGGAACUGCCAUUGAUACUGCGUGGCUAGAGUGUGGGAGGGGCAGACGGAAUUCCAGGUGGAGCGGUGAAAUGCGUAGAUAUCUGGAGGAACGCCGGAGGCGAAAGCGGUCUGCUGGCCCACGACUGACGCUGAGGUGCGAAAGCUAGGGGAGCAAACAGGAUUAGAUACCCUGGUAGUCCUAGCCGUAAACGAU